AGAGGUUCGACUCGAGCGAAGCGAGAGAACGUUGCGUCAGCAACGGCCCGCAGUGGCAAGUCAUCCUCUGUCACCGGCAG
RNAcentral lists this small RNA (80 nucleotides) under Salmonella enterica subsp. enterica serovar Muenchen. Its description in RNAcentral is "partial RtT sRNA". It matches the Rfam family "RtT RNA", at positions 37 to 130 of the family's 130-position model. From Rfam's summary of the family: This family represents a bacterial cis-regulatory element known as RtT RNA. The exact function of RtT is unknown although it is thought that it may be involved in changing the cellular response in relation to amino acid starvation. Lineage: Bacteria; Pseudomonadati; Pseudomonadota; Gammaproteobacteria; Enterobacterales; Enterobacteriaceae. RNAcentral also lists the same sequence under 2 other names. The record is from RNAcentral.